GGUCUGUUAGCGCAAUGGUAGCGCGUGCCCCUCCUAAGGGCAAGGUUGCGGGUUCGGUACGUUUACUCGGCU
This is a non-coding RNA of Phyllosticta citriasiana, 72 nucleotides long. Lineage: Eukaryota; Fungi; Ascomycota; Dothideomycetes; Botryosphaeriales; Phyllostictaceae. The record is from the annotation of a GenBank genome assembly.